UUGGAUGUGAAUUGAUUUAUGUUUGGAUAUGCUUAUUAAAAGUAAUUUUUAUAAGUUGACGUUGUUUGGAUAG
RNAcentral lists this microRNA precursor (73 nucleotides) under Medicago truncatula (barrel medic). Its description in RNAcentral is "MIR5272 microRNA precursor family". It matches the Rfam family "MIR5272 microRNA precursor family". The record is from Rfam by way of RNAcentral. Lineage: Eukaryota; Viridiplantae; Streptophyta; Magnoliopsida; Fabales; Fabaceae.